UGCGUGAGAACACCAGUCGCCUCUACA
Molecule: non-coding RNA, 27 nt
Filed under: Callithrix jacchus (white-tufted-ear marmoset)
Lineage: Eukaryota; Metazoa; Chordata; Mammalia; Primates; Cebidae
Also listed under: 2 other names
Source: RNAcentral